Molecule: small RNA, 59 nt
Filed under: Podarcis lilfordi (Lilford's wall lizard)
Lineage: Eukaryota; Metazoa; Chordata; Lepidosauria; Squamata; Lacertidae
Source: RNAcentral
GUGCUCGCUUCGGCAGCACAUAUACUAAAAUUGGAACGAUACAGAGAAGAGCAGGAUUG